This 145-nucleotide ribosomal RNA is filed under the name uncultured bacterium. RNAcentral describes it as "partial 16S ribosomal RNA". It matches the Rfam family "Bacterial small subunit ribosomal RNA", at positions 367 to 525 of the family's 1533-position model. The record is from RNAcentral.
CGUCAAGGGCGCAGCCUGAUGCAGCAACGCCGCGUGAGUGAUGACGGCCUUCGGGUUGUAAACCUCUGUCUUCAGGGACGAUACUGAUGGUACCUGACGAGGAUGCCACGGAUAACUACGUGCCAUGCCCCGCGGCGCUAUAAUA